UCCUGUCCUGUGGUUGAUAAAUAACCUAAGUUGCGAAGGCUCCCCAACCCCCCUCACUCUCCCCCGGAUUCCACAGUGUCCAGGUGCCCAGCGGACAUCAUACCUGAACGUCCGCAUGUGGUGGGGACCAGCAACCAUAGCCGGCUUUCUGCUGGUGACCAGGUGCCCACCGUGCUCCGAAUGAGCUCAGCAGAAAUGAACCCUGAGGACCCGCCACCAGGCAGCGAAGCGGCGAGGAGUUCUGGACCCGCAAGUCGCCCAACUCCCCCGCUCACCUCCCGAGCCUCAGCUCCUGGCCUCCACAGUCAGGAUACGGUCGGUCUUCCUGCCGGCGGCACAUGUGCCUGAAAAGCCUGCACGGCCUCUAAUGAGCGGGCAGAGCGUCCGUGUGUGAGCCCCACUCGGCCCAUCAGCAUUCGUGGGGACGUCUGUGAACCACGCACCUCUGUACCCCUCGCUGGUUCCGACGUGCAGGACGGAGGUGCAUCGCACCCCACUCAGGCUCUGCCGGUUUGCGUGUCGGUCCUUUGAGUCCUGUCGCUUCCCAGGGCCGGCAUCCCUGACAGCCGGGUCCCCAGGGCUGCUGCCCCACGCCUGCCUCCGGCUUCCCUGGCCAGCACCCCUCCGGUGCCGCUGCCCGUCCGACACUGAGACGGCCUUGUCACAGCUGCUGCAGGCAGAGCUCACUCACUUGCACUUAAAACCACGACUUGGAGCCGGCAGGAACACGUGAGAGCUCCCCUCCUACCGCCUUGUGAGCACAGCCCAGUGCUGUUAGCCACGGGCAUCUCUGGCACGGACCUUCCUGCACACCUGGACUGUUUGCACCUGGUGGACUACAAGCCCCGCCCCUGGGACCCACCGUUCUACCCUCUGCUGUUGAGCCUUUUUCAGUGAUGCCCUGAAACUCCAGGAAGCUUGGCUGUCAUGCUGCCCCCUCCCCUCUUAGCUCUGCCCCUCUGCAGCUCCUGGACCUUCUCCUUGGGGGCUUUUGUCCCCUCAGGCGGCCCUGCUGAACCGGGGAUGCCUCCCCUCAGCCUUAAAGACCUGUGGUCAGUCCAGGGAGGCAGCUUCUCAGCAGAACCCAGGUGGGGCUGGAGCCUGGAGGUCCCAGGCCCGGGAGUCCUCUGGGCCCGCGUCUGGGGAAGCCCCCACCCGCUCCAGCCUUCAUCCCCGUGUCUGAACUAUGUGAGCAUCAGAUGCCGACCGGGGGCCCAAGAAGGAGCCCCUCCACCAGCCAACGAGGGUCCCAGGGAGAGGCUGCUCCGGCAACUGUGAGGACCCCCAUGAGCCGUGAGGUGGGCGGGCUCGAGGGCACCUGAGCGUCUGGGGUGUCUGCAGUCCCUCUGUGCAGCCUGGCCCAGCUCUGGUCUCCCGUCACUGUCCUGUCACUGCGGCUUGACCCCGCAGGCCCCUGCGAUCUUCGUGGACGCUGCCUGCCGGACCCUGGGGAGAGGCUCAGUCCCUGAGUCGGCUGGAGGAGGCAGUCUGCAGCCGAGGCCACUGUCACCUGGAACUGGCAGGGGCAGGGCCUGAGCACCCGAGUUGAGCUCAGGUCUUCCCUGCCCCAGACGCACCAGGAUGAUUUCCAGGCAUGCAUCUUAAACUCAAGGUCCUUCGGGGCUUCUGCUACGUGUCCAAGAGCUAUCCAGGGCCCAGAGACCAGACCAGACGCCACAGUGCCCACGUGCACUUCAGGAAGCAGUGGGAAUCAGUAAGGUUCCUGGCGAGGAGCGCUCAACAGAAAACUGGAGCGGGACAGUGGGGGCCUUGAGUCUCAGGGGGCCAGGGAGGGGCAAGAACCUGACCUUGUCCCCAGCCUGCUGACUCCCGUACCACCGUCCGUGUCCAUGCCGGGAGGGGGUGAGGACCCAGGCCGGUCCCCCAACUGGACGUGAGGUCACCCUGUUGGGAUGAGCCUCUCCCCGCAUCACGACACAGGGGAGCCCAGGGAAAAUGUGGUGCCAGCCAUCUCGGGACCGUGACCCUCCAAUGUGGACAUUCAUGGGGACAGAAAGUCAGCAAGAUCACCUGGGAAGAGCCUGGGAAAGUGCUGAGGGAGAGAGCUCACCCUACCAGCCCCCAAGACGCGCCUGCUGUGGCACUGCCGCAGGAAGGAAGGCAGACCUUUGUAAGGAGACAGAAUCCUGGAGGGCACGUAGGAAGGGGCGGAUGCGGCCCCAGAGCAGCCAGGUCUCCGCGAGGGGGGCCCCUAAUCAAAGGCAAGGGAAACGUGAACGGCGGGAGGUUGUUUGCUCUGCUGGCUGUCUUCACGGUGAGUAGUUUCUACAGCUCGGGUUUUUACAAGGCAAAAAAAAAGGGAAGUGGCGUGAAGAGACAGUUCACAAUGAAAAGGAAGCAGCGAUGAAGCGAUGAAGCGUGCUUACUUGCCCGGCUCCCAACAGACAUGCAGAGUGUAACCGAGAGCAAUGUCACCAAGCACCUCCCGCCUCGGCCCCAAUCAGGGCCGUGGCCGCUCGUGAAGGUCAGGAAAUCUCAGAGAGUCUCGCUGGGGGUCCGUGGCCGCCUUAGACACGCUCUGUAAGAGCUCGGUUGCACACAGGCGACCAACAGCAUGCUUGCAUUUGGGAACAAAGUGCGUUAACAACCCUCCAUGGGAUCUUCCAAAUUUGCCAAAGCAGAAAAACAUGAGUGCCCAUCCAAAAGAAUUUGAAUAUAAGCCAUGAUGAGUCCUUAAAACCCAGGUGACACGGCCAUUCAACAGGACACACGCUCGAGGUGGGAGAGGAAGGUUUCUCAUCUACUGGCAUUUCACGCCCUCGUGGUCUCUGACCCGCUAUGACGUUCACCUGCCCUGGUUCCACCCAUCGGACGCGACCCCUGCUCCCAUCCUGGAUGGUGCUGCUGGUCCAGGAGCGAGAAGUCCUAGAGGCCCUGUGCUGUGUGAGCUGGAUUCCAGACGUGUCCCGUCCGACCUGCCCAACGUUCAGGGACACCUGGCCAGGCCAGCCCCUCUUGCUCGGCCAUUCCCUGAGCUGAUUUCACAGCCACCGCCAGUUAAGAGUGAGGUCGAAUGGAGCAGACACGAGCACCGUGGCCUGGGGACCCCGUUCCGGAACCCUGCACCCCCGCGUUGGGUGUCCCUGGGGGCCCACAGGCCCAGGAAGAGCUCAGUGGGCAGGAGCCAAGGUGUGUCCAUCCUGGGAGCGCCUGGGGUCGUUCUAAUCCGUGCAGUUUCUCAGCUGGCGCCUCCAGGGUCUCCUGGGGCUGAGCCGGUGGGGACUCUGGCUGAGAGAGCUGCUUUUCUUAGAUCCACGCAUCAUCAAAUGUAGCUGUUAAGGUCUACUUUUCAGCGGUUUUCCGAGUGUUGGUGGAGCUCUGCGACCGUCACCGCCGUUUCCACAGUUCACUGCCCCGAGGAAGAGCCUCUGAUCACGGGCAGAGAGGCCCCCAGCCGGCACCCCCGGCCCCUGGCGCCCACUGACCCACUUCCUGUCUCUGCACAUUUCACGUCAAGGGACUUGUCCGUGGUCCGUGCGUCCAGUUUCCUUCCGUCAGCCUGAUGUCCCUGCAUGUCCGGUCCCCACUCUAUGGGUGACUGUGCCCCUGCAGGGACAGACCACGUCUUGUUCUUCCGUCCGUCCGUCCAGGGACCCUGGAUUGUUGCCAGCUUUUCGCUGUGUGAGUGUUUCCCUGUGCACGUGUCUGCACAGGUGUCUGAGUGCCUGUCUUCACCUCUUUGGGGACACACCUAACACGGACUUGUUGGGUCAUAAGGUGACUCCACCUUUACCUUUUGGAGAAACUACCAAACUGUCCACGGCAGCUGCACCACGUUACAAUCCUGCCGGCAACACAGGAGGCCCCAGUGUCUCCCCAUCCUCGUUCUGCUGGUGGUAGCCAACUCCAGUGGGCGAGACGCCCUGUCCCCCUAUGGUUCUCCUGACGGCCACUGACGUCGAGCGUCUGUGCCUGUGUGCCUUGUUCUCUGCAGUCGAGUGGACUUGGGAGAGAUGUCUGUCCGAGCCCUUUGUUCGUUUUCUCCAAGGGCUGUCAGUCUUCUGAUGGCUGAGUGCUGAGUUGUUACACACACUGUAACCUCACCAGUGCUCCAGCUCAGCAGUCGGCCUGGGCUUCCAGCCCACUCCUCGCUCCUGGCUCCCCACAGCCUCCCCCACCCCCCGGGGCAGAGCUUCGAGGCGGCAGGGAGCGGUCUGUGAGCGGAGGGGAGCGUGAGCCUCGACCCACCUGCCCUGGAUGUCGGCCACCCCAGCGCCAUCUUCCUCUCCAACCAGACCGACUGCCGAGUUGCCUCCACGGCGCCAACUCCACACCGUUGGCUCUCUGGCGCUCUUCAACGCGGUGGCGUCUUUGGAGUUUGUUGUCUUGCAGCAUCGGACCUGGAGAAGCUGGAGACCAUCCUGGUGUCAGAAUGGGCAGAAGUAACAGCCAGAUACGCCAGAUGCAGGUGAGGCCCUUCCGGGGUCAGAGCCAGGGGAAGUGGGUACGACCCCGGUGGGAAGCAGCAGUGCAGGUGGGGCUCUCAGGCAGCAGGAGCAGGUGAGGGGGGCCAGUUUGGAGCUGGGCGACCUUCAGAAGGUGCUGGGCUUCCUCAGCUGCAGGGAGGGAGGAGCCACCCUGCCCCUCCUCCUCCACACCUGGGGCUCCAGGCUUGCCCUCACCACGAGGCCCCCCAGUGGACCCAUGGGAAGAUGCUGACCUCUGGCUCCACAGAGUCACCGACCAUCCAAGUUUGUUGUGGUGAGUCAUCUGGACAGCCCUGCAGCUCAUCUUGGGGACGAUUUCCACUGGCAGAAACAAGUCUCUGGAGGCAGGACCCAUCUCCCCAGCACAGGGCCUUGGGCCCUGGUGGCCACCGCGGGUCAGAGUCUGCACCAGGCUUGAGCUGAGGGAACUGGGGGACUGGCAGGGGCAGAGCUGGGCGCUGGUGCAGGCCUGGGCCUCAGCCACAUGGUCUCCACGCCUGCCUGGGGGAGGGGCCGGGGCAUCUGGUCAGCAGUGGCUCUACAGCAGGUGGCCACAGGGUGAUGGCACCUGGACACAGCUCUCCGAGGGCUCCAGGGGCCCAGGCGUGCACCCUUGGGGGACGGGCACGAGGGGCAGUGACAGGUGCGCCUCAGGCGCUGGAGGGACUGUCAAGGGUGCUGGGCAGGUAGGACCCGGCCUCAGAAGCUCAGGGACGGUGAGGGAGGCAGGUGGAGUUUGCAGCCGAAGAUGACCUGCCCCAGGGUCUGGUGCGGGGAGGAGAUUUGGGAGAGGAGGCCAGGCCCGGUGGGGGACAGCGGGGACCAGAUGACCCUUGUGUGUACCUAGUCGGAGCUGGCCUGCAGCGGGGCUGAACUGCUGUGGGAGGGCAGCCCGGAACAGGGCAAGGCCUCGGGGAACAACUCACCUGAGACACCUGGGCUCUCAGGCAGACGAGGGGAAGGGGAGGGGCAAAGUGGGGUGACCUGCAUCAGCAGGAGGGGGCGCCUCUUGAGGGGGCUGCUGUGGGACCGCAGCCCCUCCUGAGCCAGCACCAGGCAUCUCAGCUCCCGCAGAGGAUCCCGCCUCCAGCCGGGCUGUGUCAGCCCUCUGCCCGGCCACCAACACCCUCCUAGGGUCAGCCAUUCCCGUGGAGUCUCUGGGGAUGAGAUCUUGGGGUUGAUGGGGGUGGGCCUGGGCCUUUGGGGCAGCUGGCCUGGUGCAGGUCCUCGCGGCUCUGCGUCUCCUGCCUUCCAGGGAGGAGCAGCUGCCCAGCCUCAGCAUCCGAGGCCCCAGCACCCAUGAGGCAAGGGUGAGCACCCAUCCUCACUGCCCAGGCAGGAGUUGGGAGGCAGGAGGCGGUUGUGGGCGGCGCUGUCUCCGCCCCUGACUGCAGAGCUGUCAAGAGGCGUCCUUGAGCUGUGAGGGGCCUUUCCUGGCUCCUUGAGUUCACUCACAGCAGGGCCACGCUGGGAGAGCUGGCAGCCUGGCUAACACCACCAGCUCCCAUUUUGCAGCAAAAGGCCCAGGCAGCAGCCAGGCCUCCGUCGGCACCAGGAAGUGCUCUCCAAAGCCCCGCGCCUCGGAGAGGAGAGGGCCCGGCGACGGCCGGCGCGGAGAACAGCAAGGCAGGCGCGGGCCGUGCGUCCCGAGGUGGCCACCCCUCGGCCCGCACCGUCCUCUCACCGGGAGACACCUGGCUGAGCGGCCCCUGCUCACCCCCGAAGCUGGGUGCCCCUGUCACAACCUUGGCCCAAGGAGUGCGGCUGUGUCACUGGAGCUCUGAGGCCAGGCCCUGGUGACUCAGCGCCACCUGCCCUCGGGGCCCGGAGCCACCACCCGAAACGUCCACCACCCUAGGGCCACCAUGCUGCCGGCCUCACAGAGACAGGAGCCCAGGGUGUGAGGACGAGUGUGAGGGGCCCCGCCGCCCCCGGCACCUGCAAACCUGGCCAGAGAGUCUGGGAGGUCUCCUGUUAUGGGCCAGGUGGGCGUUGUGUUCGACCUGUUAUCCUAGAAGGCAGUCCAUCGGGAUGGGGGACUCGUUUAAUGGCUUCGGAGAAUCACACCACCAUAACUGGGGAAGGCCGUGGACACUAGGGAAGAGGCCAGUCGAGUGAGAGAGGAGACACUUAGGAAAGAAAAAACUGACAACCAGAACUGUAUCUCACUUUAAACCUUUCACUCUGCAAAAGGCCCUGUUAAGAGAAUGUAAAAGAGCUACAGACUGCGAGAAAAUCUUGGCCAAUCAUGUACCUAAUAACGCUCUUAUGCAGAAUAGAAACAAAAACUCUAAAACCCAAUAAUAAAACACAUGAGCCCAUUAAAAAUGGCCACAAGAUAUGAACAGACAGUUCAACAAAGGAUACACACACACACACAUACACACAUAUAAUGCAGAUACACGGUGUCUGUAUGUACACAGCAGACAAACACAGGAAAAAUGCUUAUUCUGGAAACAACACGGUGCCACCUCACACCUGCUAGAAAGGCUGAGACCCGGAGCAGUGGCAGCACCAAAUGUGGAGAGGAUGUGGAGCAACAGGAACUCCCAUCCAUCACUGUUCGGGAUGCAAAUGGUGCAGCUGCUUUGGAAGACAGUUUGGUGGUUUCUUAGAAGACUAACCAUCUGUUACCAUGAGAUACAUUAAUCAUGAGUUACCAUGAGUAUCUUCCCAGAUAACUGAAAAUGUGUAGCCACGUAAAACCAGGAUGCAGUAUUCACUGCUUCAUGCAUGAUCACUAAAAACCAGAAGCCGCCAAGAUGGUGUCCAACUGGAGAAUGGACAGACUGUGGAAUUCCCUAACAAGGGACUACAGGUCAGUGAUGCUACUGGUUCACUCAACAGCUUGGAUGAAUUGUAGCCACAUUCUGCUGAGUGAAGAAUCCAGACCCGUGUAGGACUCCGCUCACAUGACGCCCUGGAAGAGGCACGGCCGCGGGGAAGCUGAGAGUCAGCGGGCCCCAGGGCUGAUGGAGCGGGGCCCAGCUGGACCAAGGCUGUGCCCGCUCCACACGAGAUGGAAACCACGGAGCUGUACGUCCCAAGACUGAACUGUUAGGUAGGCAAACUGAAAAAGGAGAAAAUAAAACCUCGUCAAACUGGA
Non-coding RNA from Vicugna pacos (alpaca), 7554 nucleotides. Lineage: Eukaryota; Metazoa; Chordata; Mammalia; Artiodactyla; Camelidae. The record is from RefSeq and is a predicted model, not a curated record.